RNAcentral lists this transfer RNA (107 nucleotides) under Candidatus Bathyarchaeota archaeon. RNAcentral's name for it is "tRNA-OTHER". It matches the Rfam family "tRNA". Rfam says of the family: Transfer RNA (tRNA) molecules are approximately 80 nucleotides in length. The record is from RNAcentral. Lineage: Archaea; Thermoproteati; Candidatus Bathyarchaeota.
GGGCCCGUAGCUCAGCAUGGAUAGAGCAGUAGGCUUUGUCGGCUGAUCCUCCUAAUCUUGCUGGCGAGAGCUAAAGGUCCGGGGUUCAAAUCCCCGCGGGCCCGCCA